GGCUUAUUCAACCUCACAACCCUGUAUCAACAAGAUUAUGAUUUCUGCACUGCAAUCUGCAAGAGCCAGAGCCCCACAUGCCAGAUGUGUGGAGAAAAGUUUCUUAAGCAUUCAGAUGAAGCCCUGAAAAUCCUAGGGGGUGUUGGACUCUUCUUUAGCUUUACAGAGGUAACAUUCUCCAGUUCCCUCACACACAUCCUUUUUAACUUGAGACUGAGAAUUAAUUGAUACUUAUCUCUCUCCCUUUGUUCCUACAGAUCCUUGGUGUUUGGCUAGCAAUGAGAUUUCGGAAUCAGAAGGAUCCUAGAGCCAACCCCAGUGCCUUUCUAUGAGACUUUGGAUCCUUCUGACUUUUCUUCUGCUCUAAGCUUUCUCUUCCUCCCUUAGGGAAUAUCUAGGGUCUGUAACCGUUUUGGUUUGAGAAAAAGGAAAGGCCCCUUGUCACAUCCUCUAAAAUUGAUGGAAUAGCAAGACUUUAUGCCUUGACAUAUUUUAGUGGGAGCCAGACUAUAAGGAAUAAAAGGAAAAACUUUCUCCCUCUCUCUCCAAGAGGAUAUGGGAAGCUUCUAUGAGUGCAUAGGAUGGGGGCUGGAGUCAUUCUUAGCUGUUUCCCUUCCUCCUCCAUCCAUAUACUGGAUCACCUCAACAUACCCUGGUGUGGCUCUAAGGGUAAAUCAGGGAUAGAGCCAAGGAGAAAACAACCAAGAACUCUUUCCUGUAAUAAGCAGGAUCCAGUUUGAGAAAGUUUAGCGAAUAUAAAAGUAAAAGCCAUUUAAAAAUCUAUAUUCUUUUUUUUUUUUGACACAGUCUUGCUCUGUUGCCCAGGCUGGAGUGCAAUGGCAUGAUCUCGGCUCACCGCAACCUCUGCCUCCCGGGUUCAAGCGAUUCUCCUG
RNAcentral lists this small RNA (893 nucleotides) under Pan troglodytes (chimpanzee). RNAcentral's name for it is "retained intron". The record is from RNAcentral. Lineage: Eukaryota; Metazoa; Chordata; Mammalia; Primates; Hominidae.